UACGGGGGGGGGCAAGCGUUGUUCGGAAUUACUGGGCGUAAAGGGCGCGUAGGCGGCCUACUAAGUCGGACGUGAAAUCCCUCGGCCCAACCGAGGAACUGCGCCCGAGACUGCUUCUCUUGAGUCCCGGAGAGGAAGGUGGAAUUCCCGGUGUAGCGGUGGAAUGCGUAGAGAUCGGGAAGAACAUCGGUGGCGAAGGCGGCCUGCUGGGCUCUUGCUGACACUGAGGCGCGACAGCGUGGGGAGCAAACAGG
RNAcentral lists this ribosomal RNA (254 nucleotides) under uncultured bacterium. RNAcentral describes it as "partial 16S ribosomal RNA". It matches the Rfam family "Bacterial small subunit ribosomal RNA", at positions 524 to 776 of the family's 1533-position model. The record is from RNAcentral.